GAUGAACGCUGGCGGCGUGCCUAAUACAUGCAAGUCGAGCGAACAGACGAGGAGCUUGCUCCUCUGACGUUAGCGGCGGACGGGUGAGUAACACGUGGAUAACCUACCUAUAAGACUGGGAUAACUUCGGGAAACCGGAGCUAAUACCGGAUAAUAUAUUGAACCGCAUGGUUCAAUAGUGAAAGACGGUUUUGCUGUCACUUAUAGAUGGAUCCGCGCCGCAUUAGCUAGUUGGUAAGGUAACGGCUUACCAAGGCAACGAUGCGUAGCCGACCUGAGAGGGUGAUCGGCCACACUGAAACUGAGACACGGUCCAGACUCCUACGGGAGGCAGCAGUAGGGAAUCUUCCGCAAUGGGCGAAAGCCUGACGGAGCAACGCCGCGUGAGUGAUGAAGGUCUUCGGAUCGUAAAACUCUGUUAUUGGGGAAGAACAAAUGUGUAAGUAACUAUGCACGUCUGGACGGUACCUAAUCAGAAAGCCACGGCUAACUACGU
This 496-nucleotide ribosomal RNA is filed under the name uncultured bacterium. Its description in RNAcentral is "partial 16S ribosomal RNA". It matches the Rfam family "Bacterial small subunit ribosomal RNA", at positions 28 to 506 of the family's 1533-position model. The record is from RNAcentral.